RNAcentral lists this long non-coding RNA (892 nucleotides) under Brassica napus (rape). Its description in RNAcentral is "long non-coding RNA (BNAP_LNC004515)". Lineage: Eukaryota; Viridiplantae; Streptophyta; Magnoliopsida; Brassicales; Brassicaceae. The record is from RNAcentral.
AAAAAUACUGAUUGAGAUGAAAAGACGCUAUAAACUUAUAUCUAUACCGCAGAAGAUUAGCUGAACACGACGGUGUAAAUCGAAAGUCAUCAAGAUGGAAGGUAUGUUAAUAGUCGUCAAAUUCGUUUUGGAAAAUACAAGUACAUUGAUAUAAAUUAUUUUCCUAUUUUUUGUGUGUUCUUCCUAGUUGUUCUUCUAUUUGGAUCGAACUAAUUAAUAUUGAUUUUUUGUGGAUUUCUUUGCACAUGUGCUUGCUUAGUAGAUGUUUGGGACAUGAAGCUCCUUAAUAAUUUACUCGAAAAUCAAAUUUCUAUUAAAGGUGUGUUAUCCGAUGGAGGGGACUGAGGAGUUUGAGUUCCAUAAAGAGUUCCAUUUCGAAAAAAAAUGUUUCCAGCUCAAAGCGCUUAAGUGAGUGUUAUCCUCCUGUAAGCUCAUACAUGCUAUGAUGACUAAACAGUCAGUCUCCAAGAAUAUAUGUUAUGUGAUCAAUGGUUGGUGGACACCCUCUUAGAUUUUGGACACUACUAUCUCUAAACGUUAUAUGUUUCCAAGCAAACAAUUGAACAUUAUUCGACGAGAAUCAUAGUUGUUUGGCAAUUAGUUUUUGGAUUUCGUUGACAGGUUGUGCUCUUGAUAAUGACGUCAAACUGCAUACAACUAUGGUGGGAUGCUUAACAUGGGAGAAGGAUUGAAUGAGAUUAAUGUACAUAUGAUAAUGAAUUGAUGGAGUAAAAUUGUUGAUCACAACUUUCAUGUGAUGUGUGUAGAUGUGUAUUCACCUUGUAGACAAUAAAAGAGAGAUCAUUGUAUAUUGAAUGUAUGUAGAAAACAAUGAGGUUAAGGUUAGGCCUGUAAUUGGUAAUAUAUUUUUCUACUUGCAUAUAUGAAAGAG